CAUUGGGCCAUUUCAGUUAAUAUCUGCUAAAGGGGGAUGGAUGGUCCUUUCUGAGGGGUUUAAAAUUUAUACAUCUUAGGGGUGAAAUUUUUGGUUUUUUUUUAUCUGACACGUACACUUAUACGCAAAAAUUUCUGAGGGUCUUGCAGCAGUAAAUAAUUAAAAAUAAUUACAUCUUAGGGGUUACAAAAAAUACCUAUUUCAAAUCUUAGGGGUGCUUUGGAAUGAAGACAGUUUCUUAUCAUGCAUUAUCUGGUAUUGUAUUUAAAAUUCUGAUGGGUACAAUCCUUUCAGUAAAAAAAUUCUGAUAGGUCAAUUUUUCCCAUGAAAGCCCAUCCACCCAAUAUGAAGAGAAACUCUACAUCUGAUAGGUCUUAAUU
RNAcentral lists this long non-coding RNA (380 nucleotides) under Mytilus galloprovincialis (Mediterranean mussel). The record is from RNAcentral. Lineage: Eukaryota; Metazoa; Mollusca; Bivalvia; Mytilida; Mytilidae.